AGGUCCCAAGGGUUGGGCUGUUCGCCCAUUAAAGCGGUACGCGAGCUGGGUUUAGAACGUCGUGAGACAGUUCGGUCCCUAUCCUCUGUAGCCGAAGGUAAUUUGAGGAGAUCUGUCCCUAGUACGAGAGGACCGGGAUGGACGUAGCUCUCGUGUGCCAGUUGUUCCGCCAGGAGCAUGGCUGGUUAGCGACCUACGGAAUGGAUAACCGCUGAAAGCAUCUAAGUGGGAAGCCAGCUCCAAGAUUAGAUUACCCACCGGGUUAACCGGGUAAGGCCCGUGGCAGACCACCACGUUGAUAGGCCGGAAGUGUAAGCACAGCAAUGUGUUCAGCUGACCGGUACUAAUCGGCCGAGGGCUUGAUUUAAC
RNAcentral lists this ribosomal RNA (369 nucleotides) under Acidimicrobiaceae bacterium. Its description in RNAcentral is "bacterial LSU rRNA". It matches the Rfam family "Bacterial large subunit ribosomal RNA", at positions 2560 to 2925 of the family's 2925-position model. The record is from RNAcentral. Lineage: Bacteria; Bacillati; Actinomycetota; Acidimicrobiia; Acidimicrobiales; Acidimicrobiaceae.